AGUGAUUGGCCCAGCUCUUCAGAUUUCGGUGGCCAGCCCUGUCUUCCAGAGUCCCUUCUACUCUACUGUUGGAUGUCUUACUCUGUCCUCAGGUCCCAUGACAAUAGACAUGAAUUUCCUCAUUGCACAGGGUGAUAUCCUUGGAGAAUCAAACCUACCCAGAAGGAACAAUAAGUCACCAGUAUCUGCCUUGAAGAACUGCGUCCUGACAAGAACAUCCUAGAGCCUGCCUCCUCUGCCAGCCUGGCUAUGUGCAGACUGCCAAACAUUUCACCUACUGCCCACUCACUGCUAGCCAUAUCAUUCUAACAUUCAGAUCUUAUCCGGUCAAAUAUUAUUACUUUCU
This is a long non-coding RNA of Bos taurus (domestic cattle), 346 nucleotides long. The record is from Ensembl. Lineage: Eukaryota; Metazoa; Chordata; Mammalia; Artiodactyla; Bovidae.